Molecule: long non-coding RNA, 209 nt
Filed under: Elaeis guineensis (African oil palm)
Lineage: Eukaryota; Viridiplantae; Streptophyta; Magnoliopsida; Arecales; Arecaceae
Description: long non-coding RNA (EGUI_LNC026596)
Source: RNAcentral
CUCCUUUUUCGUCAGAAGAAUGAAGGAUGCAGGUCUGCCUCUUUUUUCGUCAGAAGAAUGAAGGAUGCAAUUGAAGUCUCCUACUAAUAGAAGGGGAGGACCUAAAGAAAAGACAUGAUCAAUUGACUCUCAAAGCAUUCUGCACCUUAAGGCAUUAGUGCUAGCAUAUAGAACUCCCAGUAUCUAGAUAGAUCCUAAAAAUAGUGAGA